This is a long non-coding RNA of Ipomoea nil (Japanese morning glory), 217 nucleotides long. RefSeq lists it as uncharacterized. The record is from RefSeq and is a predicted model, not a curated record. Lineage: Eukaryota; Viridiplantae; Streptophyta; Magnoliopsida; Solanales; Convolvulaceae. The transcript has 3 exons.
CAGCUCAACUUGCAUACACAUACCAAACAACACGAUGAGCAAACAUUCAUAGCUGAAAAAGCCAAACAAAUUCAUGAACAAGUUGAAUCGCAACGGGAGAUGUUGGCAGAAAAUGGGGAGCAGGUGGAUGACAAUCAAUUAUACUAUGACGCGGUUGGUGGACACGAUAAGAAAAGAAGAGUUUAUGGACUUGGUUCAUAUGGUUGUUCUGUUGUUC